UUUUCUUUAAGCAGCCGCAACCCCAGAUCCACCUCCCCCUCCCUCGUUAUUCACCCACGGACACUUCCUAAACGUGUGGAUUGAUGCUUUUUUUCUCUCCAGAUGCUGCCACGAUCCAGAAUCCUGGAGAACCAAAGCCGCAUCCGUGUAAUUCCGACCAUCAGGCAAGAAAUACAAGCGAUCAAACAACGUUACUUCUUUGAGCUGCGAUCAGAUAAUCCUACUAAUCCAAUAGAUUUAUCUCGAUUGGAAAUUGACCUCAAAAAUGAAUUCCCAGUGCUGGUGUCCAGUAGAAUGAUUCCGUAGCCCUAUCCGGGUUACCGAAGGGCUGUGGUUUCUUUCUUUCCUUUCCUUUCCUUUCUUCCUUCCUUUCUUUCGUUUUUUAAUAAUCUUUUUGGGUUCUGGGUGCACUGCUCGCAAAG
Molecule: long non-coding RNA, 422 nt
Filed under: Rattus norvegicus (Norway rat)
Lineage: Eukaryota; Metazoa; Chordata; Mammalia; Rodentia; Muridae
Description: long non-coding RNA NONRATT015187
Source: RNAcentral